GUCCCGGGCUCUGAGCGGGUCUCCACUUCUGGAACCUCCUCUGUGCCUGGCACUGUGCUGGACGCUGGGAACGCAGGGGCGACCGAGAGAGCAGGUCUCGGUGCACCUGGAGCUCAGAAAUCGGUGAAAACAAGCAGUCAUAAUGGGGGUGGUAGGUGCCAUGAGAGAGGAGGCGCCGGGCUUUGGGGGCUGGGUGAAGAGCAUCUAAAUCUAGACCCUAGAUGCGGGGAAAGACUUCCUCCUGGAAGCCCUGAGUGGUUAGGAGUUAGUCGAGUGAAGAGAAGCGAAGUCACAGAUGCAGAGGCCUACAGGCAAAGGACAAAUUUGAGGAACUGAAAAGAUUCACAUGACCGGUCUUGGGGGAAGAACUUGAGACGCUCCCCUUGUGCCCUGACCACAGCCGGCUGUGUGUCACCGGCCGUCUCCUCCACUAGCCGUGAGCUCCUCCAGGGCAAGGGACCUUGUCUCAGGCCUGGCAUACUACAUAUUGAGCACCUGGGAGAGGUGGAGCACUGGAGUCAGAAAAGUGAUGAGCUCGCACAGAAUGCAGGACAGAAGAGGCUGGGAGCCAGGGAGCCUACAGAUCAUAUUCCAUUCGGAGACAUCAGAAGCUGCUCGAUCACAAGCACAGUCUCUCCGGGCAGUAUUUAUCAAGUAUCCAGCACAUACCAAGUCCCAAAAUAGAGGAAUAAGGAAGAAAUCCAGCCCAUGAUCCUCACUUUGAGUGCCCUUGUAGUCUAAUUGGAGAGUCACAUGAGAUGAUGAUCAAGGCCCUUGGUGAGAGCAUGGUCCUACAGAGUCUCAGGAUGAAAUCAAGAGCAGGUGGGACUCAUCCAGAAGGGCUUCCUGGGGAAGCAGGCUUUUAAGAUGAGAUGGAGAGAAAGGACAGACAAGCCCUAAAGCCCUAGAGGGCAUCACGCACUUCCCUAAGGCCCCAAGUAGUGCACACUUUCCGUGGUAGCACUCCUUAUGCAACGGUAAUUAUUUGUUUACACUUCUUUCUGCUCCAUUAGACUGAGUAUCUGGGAGGGAGGGACCUUGUUUUCCUCUCUGUAUCCCCAGGCAGUGCCUGACACAUAGGAGUUGCUUAAUAACUAUUUGAAGAAGAGUAAGAGGAAAUGAGAAAAUAAAUGUACAAAAACAGUAGAAACAGGCCUGUGGGGGGAAAUGGAGCAAAUUAACUUGGUAGGACUAGAGAACUGGUGUUGAAAUAACAUAUGAAAUCAAGAAAUAAAACAGCCAUAAAAGACAUCCUGGGAACAAUUGGGGAAUUUGAACAUGAAGUGAGUAUUAGAUGAGAUAGGAAUUGUUAAAUUUUCCAAGAAUGGUGAUUGUUUUAUGAUUAGUAGGGGAAGGUCCUUGUUUUCAGGAAGUGCUCGAUGACUUGUUUAGGAGCAAAGAUCAUGGUGUCUUGCAGCUUAUUUUCAAAAUGGUUUAUCAAAAACUGUGUAUAUUGUUGACAUCUAUUAUUAUCACAUUGCUUUGUAUUAUAAAUCGGAAAUAGUGGCAAAUCACUGUUGUUUUUUUUUUUUUUUUUACUAAUAGCUCUUUUUGUUCUCUUUUUCUUUCUUUUUUAAUUUAUUUUUAUUCUUUUUGACUAACAACUCCUGACUGUGAGUGUAAGGUAUAUGGUUAUUCAUUGUACUCUUUCAGCUUUUCUAUAUAUUUGAAAUUCUUUUCAGUGACAUAAAUGAUUGUGGGGGUCGGGGGCAGGAAGGGGCUGGGAGAAAUGGAGGCAGUAGGAUAAGGGCCCAGAGAUGACAGGGGGCAGUGGAUCUUGGAGCCUCCUUUCACCCACUGAACUGUACUGCUGGUCUGGUGCCGACUCCUUUCUCUGCCCUAAGCAUCAACUCAACCCAGUCCUGGAGAGGCGUCCGCUUGGGUCUGUUUUGCUGGGAGCUGGCUCCCUGCAAAGACUCAGAUGCACUCAGUAGGUGGUGCUGUGUCUUCUUC
Long non-coding RNA from Dama dama (fallow deer), 1953 nucleotides. RefSeq lists it as uncharacterized. The transcript has 3 exons. NCBI's taxonomy places the organism in Eukaryota, Metazoa, Chordata, Mammalia, Artiodactyla, Cervidae. The record is from RefSeq and is a predicted model, not a curated record.